GGAGAGGUGACAGAGUGGUCGAAUGUGCUCGCCUGGAAAGCGAGUGUGUCGCAAGACACCGCAGGUUCGAAUCCUGUCCUCUCCG
This 85-nucleotide transfer RNA is filed under the name Candidatus Dojkabacteria bacterium. RNAcentral's name for it is "tRNA-Ser". It matches the Rfam family "tRNA". Rfam says of the family: Transfer RNA (tRNA) molecules are approximately 80 nucleotides in length. Their secondary structure includes four short double-helical elements and three loops (D, anti-codon, and T loops). Further hydrogen bonds mediate the characteristic L-shaped molecular structure. tRNAs have two regions of fundamental functional importance: the anti-codon, which is responsible for specific mRNA codon recognition, and the 3' end, to which the tRNAs corresponding amino acid is attached (by aminoacyl-tRNA synthetases). tRNAs cope with the degeneracy of the genetic code in two manners: having more than one tRNA (with a specific anti-codon) for a particular amino acid; and 'wobble' base-pairing, i.e. permitting non-standard base-pairing at the 3rd anti-codon position. The record is from RNAcentral.